AAUAUUGGACAAUGGGGGCAACCCUGAUCCAGCCAUGCCGCGUGUGUGAAGAAGGUCUUCGGAUUGUAAAGCACUUUAAGUUGGGAGGAAGGGCUUGAGGCUAAUACCCUGAAGUUUUGACGUUAGCAACAGAAUAAGCACCGGCUAACUCUGUGCAAGCAGCCGCGGUAAUACAGAGGGUGCAAGCGUUAAUCGGACUUACUGGGCGUAAAGGGAGAGUAGGUGGUUCAGUAAGCUGGGUGUGAAAUCCCCGGGCUUAACCUGGAAACUGCUUUCAUAACUGCUGAGCUAGAGUACGGUAGAGGGUAGUGGAAUUUCCUGUGUAGCGGUGAAAUGCGUAGAUAUAGGAAGGAACACCAGUGGCGAAGGCGACUACCUGGACUGAUACUGACACUGAAGUGCGAAAGCGUGGGGAGCAAACAG
RNAcentral lists this ribosomal RNA (423 nucleotides) under uncultured bacterium. RNAcentral's name for it is "partial 16S ribosomal RNA". It matches the Rfam family "Bacterial small subunit ribosomal RNA", at positions 360 to 775 of the family's 1533-position model. The record is from RNAcentral.